Long non-coding RNA from Daktulosphaira vitifoliae (grape phylloxera), 1184 nucleotides. RefSeq lists it as uncharacterized. NCBI's taxonomy places the organism in Eukaryota, Metazoa, Arthropoda, Insecta, Hemiptera, Phylloxeridae. The record is from RefSeq and is a predicted model, not a curated record. The transcript has 3 exons.
UUUAACUUUACAUUCUGUGUUAAAAUAUUAGAUUUACUUAAAAACGGAAAAAAAAUUUUCAAUUACACUUUGUUUAUUGGCUGUUUUAAUUCCAGAAAAAUAUUUAACUGUGAAUUAUUAUAUUGUGUUAUCUUCUAUGUGUACAAUGUUUGGCUUACUUUCAUGUGUGUGUGUGUGUGUGUGUUGGUGUUUAAAAUUGUGUUAUUAGAAUUUUCAUUAUCUUUUGUUUUUAUUCACAAAUUGUUUUCGUUAAUAAUUAAAUUAUAAAUUUCAUUAUUAUUGUCAAUAUUAUCGGACUCUUUUUUUGUUUGUGUUUAGAAUUAUAUAUUUUUUAAUUGACUAUUGAUUCAAAAUCUGUAAAAUUUAUUGUUUUUAAAAGAAUAUCUCUUGAUGGUUUGUGCGAUUGUGUACCUGGAAUCCAGUGUGUGUUUUUAUCUACAUUGUAUGACUAUAAAUGGACGAUUGCCUAAACCAUAAAUGAUUCAAGUUUUAUGUGUACCAUUAAAAAUGUAUAUAUCAUGAUUAUAAUGGUUUGCAAUAGCUGCUAAUUCAUCAUCACUAAACCAAUAAUUAGGCCUGAUGCUAUUUUAGGCAUUGAUAUUUGUAGUUUUAAGUGUGUACACGGAAAUUUAUACAUACAUAUUGCUAAUGAUGACAUCAAGUGCUUGAUUCAUCGUAUAAGAAUAUUUGUCUUAUCAGGAUAAUAAGAGUUAAGAAAUCACUAGAAAAACAUGGGAAAACACCUUUGCCACGAACUGAUAAUGCUCCGACAUUUACAUACUUUGACAUUUGAUAAAGUAGUAAUUGUUACGAACAUCUGGUACUCCAACCAUCUGAUACCAUAGGUUACUAAAAUUACGACGGAUUUUACUCCGACAUUAAAUUAAAAAAAUGAGACUGCAAAAACUUCGACAUUAUCGAUAGUUUGAUUAUGCAUCGAAAGUUAUAUUAUAUUUUGAUUGUAUUAUUAGUAAUAGGGCACAUCGAUCGUAUAUGUUGCAACGUCAGGAUCACGUGGCUACAGAAACGCUACAUUAUUAAAUUAAUUAUAUUAUUAUUAAUAAUAUUGUAAAAUUAAAAUUAAAAUGUUCUAUUAAAUUAGCAUUUAUUUGCUACUAUAGUUAUUAUACAAUUAUAUACAUAUUGCUUAUUAUUUUCUGAUACAAUUUCUCACAUUUGACAAA